This 141-nucleotide ribosomal RNA is filed under the name uncultured bacterium. RNAcentral's name for it is "partial 16S rRNA". It matches the Rfam family "Bacterial small subunit ribosomal RNA", at positions 355 to 510 of the family's 1533-position model. The record is from RNAcentral.
UGGGGAAUUUUCCGCAAUGGGCGAAAGCCUGACGGAGCAAUGCCGCGUGGAGGUGGAAGGCCUACGGGUCGUCAACUUCUUUUUCUCGGAGAAGAAACAAUGACGGUAUCUGAGGAAUAAGCAUCGGCUAACUCUGUNCAG